RNAcentral lists this non-coding RNA (26 nucleotides) under Mus musculus (house mouse). The record is from RNAcentral. Lineage: Eukaryota; Metazoa; Chordata; Mammalia; Rodentia; Muridae.
UGCCUUGCAGCCUGAUCUUAUGGAAC